This 276-nucleotide long non-coding RNA is filed under the name Theobroma cacao (cacao). Its description in RNAcentral is "long non-coding RNA (TCAC_LNC003622)". The record is from RNAcentral. Lineage: Eukaryota; Viridiplantae; Streptophyta; Magnoliopsida; Malvales; Malvaceae.
AAAGUUGAUUUAAACCUCGAACUAGAUCAAAUAGAGAAUUUACGAUGAAAUUAAGAAUUUUAAUGUCCCAGAAUGGUUUAAUAUGGUAAUUCGGAGUUCGAGGAUCAAUUUGGAGUCAAAUCGAAAUUUUCACUAUCUAGGGGUAAAAUGGUCAUUUACCACCUGAGGAUAAAAUGGUAAUUUUUAGAAAAGAUUUUUGGCCCCAUUUGACUUAUUGGAGUAAGAUUUGAGGUUUAGAAGUGAAAAAUUUUAAUUUCGGUAUAAUUUGGAGUAAAA